CCUACGGGAGGCAGCAGUGAGGAAUAUUGGACAAUGGGCGCAAGCCUGAUCCAGCCAUGCCGCGUGCAGGAAGAAGCAUCUAUGGUGUGUAAACUGCUUUUGUACAGGAAGAAACACUCCCUCGUGAGGGAGCUUGACGGUACUGUAAGAAUAAGGACCGGCUAACUCCGUGCCAGCAGCCGCGGUAAUACGGAGGGUCCGAGCGUUAUCCGGAAUCAUUGGGUUUAAAGGGUCCGUAGGCGGUUUAAUAAGUCAGUGGUGAAAUCUGGUCGCUCAACGAUCAAACGGCCAUUGAUACUGUUAGACUUGAAUUAUAAGGAAGUAACUAGAAUAUGUAGUGUAGCGGUGAAAUGCUUAGAUAUUACAUGGAAUACCAAUUGCGAAGGCAGGUUACUACUUAUGGAUUGACGCUGAUGGACGAAAGCGUGGGGAGCGAACAGGAUUAGAUACCCUGGUAGUCCACGCCGUAAACGAUGGAUACUAGCUGUUCGGAGNAUAUGAGUGNGUAGAGAAGUAGAGUAAGUAGUACCACCGACGGAGGUAACGGUUACGUCGAGAAGUAGAAGUUAACGUAAUUAGAGUUAGUAGGACGNGAGAGAGCGACGGACGACGACGAGGAGGAGGAGG
Molecule: ribosomal RNA, 627 nt
Filed under: uncultured bacterium
Lineage: Bacteria
Description: bacterial SSU rRNA
Rfam family: Bacterial small subunit ribosomal RNA (bases 1-533)
Source: RNAcentral